CUACGGGAUGCAGCAGUGGGGAAUAUUGGACAAUGGGCGCAAGCCUGAUCCAGCCAUGCCGCGUGAGUGAUGACGGCCCUAGGGUUGUAAAGCUCUUUCAACGGUGAAGAUAAUGACGGUAACCGUAGAAGAAGCCCCGGCUAACUUCGUGCCAGGCAGCCGCGGUAAUACGAAGGGGGCUAGCGUUGUUCGGAAUAACUGGGCGUAAAGCGCACGUAGGCGGAUUGUUAAGUUAGAGGUGAAAUCCCAGGGCUCAACCCUGGAACUGCCUUUGAUACUGGCAAUCUUGAGUUCGAGAGAGGUGAGUGGAAUUCCGAGUGUAGAGGUGAAAUUCGUAGAUAUUCGGAGGAACACCAGUGGCGAAGGCGGCUCACUGGCUCGAUACUGACGCUGAGGUGCGAAAGCGUGGGGAGCAAACAGGAUUAGAUACCCCAGUAGUC
Molecule: ribosomal RNA, 440 nt
Filed under: uncultured bacterium
Lineage: Bacteria
Description: partial 16S ribosomal RNA
Rfam family: Bacterial small subunit ribosomal RNA
Source: RNAcentral